This 1484-nucleotide long non-coding RNA is filed under the name Rhinopithecus bieti (black snub-nosed monkey). RNAcentral describes it as "lncRNA (ENSRBIG00000046146.1)". The record is from RNAcentral. Lineage: Eukaryota; Metazoa; Chordata; Mammalia; Primates; Cercopithecidae.
AUUUUUUUAAAACUUAGUGUAAAAACUAAAAGCAAGUGAAAAGCUUCUGGAAUUGAAAGAUGGUCAGACUGGUCCUCUUUCUUCGGAUCUAGAAAAAUCACCACCACUGUCCUCAUCCAUAUCACUGUAAAAAGGUAACCACGGUCAUUUCGUUUGCAUGGUUUAUGAGCCAGGCGCUUCCUGUACAUUGCUUCAUUGAGCCCUCCCAACAGCUCUAGCAGGCAGGCACACUUCUUACUCUUCCCAUUCUUCAGAUAAAGAAACCAAGGCCCCAGCUGGCGAAGCGACUGUGACCACAGUAACUGGGUCCGCCGGCCUGUCCCCCAGAGCAGGUUACCCAAGCUGCCUGUCUCACCCGCAGGUGGAAAGGAGUACCCGACCCUGCGGGAGGCGAGCAUGAAUGGCCACAGAACACGGAACUGCAUAGGGCCUGGCUUCCCUGCUGGGUUUGUGCAGAUCACAAUGGCAGUAUUGGGUACAUCAUAGGCGGGCCCCUCCCAGCCGCAUCAGGGAGGGCUAUGGGCCAUGGAACAGCUGAACUUGAACUGGGUACUGGGCAGGCCAUUUCCAAGGUAGCUCUGUGGAGUCCCUGUUCUCCUCCCCAGUAAAAUGGCAAAGGUUCACGGUUCAUGGAGGAACACAGGGAUCAGCACAGUGGUGCCGACUUCCCCAAGUGCACGUGCAGUCACGCCCUUCAGCAAGGCCCAGACAGAGCAAGAACCGCCUGCCAGGCUCAGAUUGUCUCCACACUCCCAGAGGGCCCCUUGAUUCCACCUGGCUCACAGCUCAACCUCCCACCUUCGCACCAGUCCCUCCAAAGACAAGGUCCUUGUGGGCUUCUCCCUGCAGUUCUCCUCAAGGACACAUGAUUCUGUCUUUAUCGACUCCGUCCAAACAAUGGAAGUCUCCCACCUCCCAAAGCCUUUAACCCUAGCUGUCUUCUGUCCAUAAAACAUCUCAUUCUUCAGAAAUUAAACUGGGGCUUGCUUAUGUGGCCUUUGAAAUGAAAAGCAGACGCGUCCCUUAGUACAACUUAUCGUUAGUGGAUCAUGCAAGACAACUGGCUGGGAAAAAACCCUCAUGUCGAAAUCAGACCACUCCCACUCAUCGGUGGCCCCUCAGCUUUGCCGUCACACAUACGUCCCUUCUCUCCCCAGUUAGGUGCGAGUUACUUGAUUAUGGGGAAGGUCUAGAAAGGCACAGAGCAAGCGGAACAUGGAUUUCUGCAUGGAUGUGUCCCCAGCUCUUUGAUAAAGUCAAUGUAUUAGCAGUGGCCAUCACGUUUCUUGUUUAUUGAACAUCUACUGUGUCAGGCACUGAAUAUAUAUCAUUGACCUCAAGUCAGCCCCAUUAGGGACACAUUCUUCUUCUUCUUCUUCUUUUUUUUUUGAGACGGAGUCUCGCUGUGUCACCCAGGCUGGAGUGCAAUGGUGUGAUCUCGGCUCACUGCAAGCUCCGCCUCCCGGUCUCAUGCCAUUCUCCUG